GUAGAGUAAUACAUAAGUAACCUGCCCUAGACAGGGGGAGUAACUAUUGGAAACGAUAGCUAAGACCGCAUAGGUACGGACACUGCAUGGUGACCGUAUUAAAAGUGCCUCAAAGCACUGGUAGAGGAUGGACUUAUGGCGCAUUAGCUGGUUGGCGGGGUAACGGCCCACCAAGGCGACGAUGCGUAGCCGACCUGAGAGGGUGACCGGCCACACUGGGACUGAGACACGGCCCAGACUCCUACGGGAGGCAGCAUG
This 258-nucleotide ribosomal RNA is filed under the name uncultured bacterium. RNAcentral describes it as "partial 16S ribosomal RNA". It matches the Rfam family "Bacterial small subunit ribosomal RNA", at positions 106 to 353 of the family's 1533-position model. The record is from RNAcentral.